CUUGGCUCGCGCAACGAUGAAGGACGCAGCGAACUGCGAAACGCAAUGUGAAUUGCAGAAUUCAGUGAAUCAUCAGAUUUCUGAACGCAUAAUGGCACC
RNAcentral lists this ribosomal RNA (99 nucleotides) under Toxoplasma gondii. Its description in RNAcentral is "partial 5.8S ribosomal RNA". It matches the Rfam family "5.8S ribosomal RNA", at positions 20 to 117 of the family's 154-position model. Rfam says of the family: 5.8S ribosomal RNA (5.8S rRNA) is a component of the large subunit of the eukaryotic ribosome. It is transcribed by RNA polymerase I as part of the 45S precursor that also contains 18S and 28S rRNA. The record is from RNAcentral. Lineage: Eukaryota; Apicomplexa; Conoidasida; Eucoccidiorida; Sarcocystidae.